Molecule: long non-coding RNA, 381 nt
Organism: Neltuma alba
Lineage: Eukaryota; Viridiplantae; Streptophyta; Magnoliopsida; Fabales; Fabaceae
Exons: 2
Source: RefSeq, a predicted model, not a curated record
UCAUUGUAUCGCCAAAUACUGAGAAGCCUUAACUCUCCAAAGUUACCACUUAAUUUAGCUGCAAGAAUGGCUAAGAAGGCAGAGAAUACUCUCUUUCCCUUUUAAGAAAAGGUGAAAUCCCUAAGCACAUUCAAUGAGCCAACUGAUUUACUUCUCAGAAUAGUGUUUUCAAAUCUUUCUCUCCUUUUUCUAUUUGAGUUCAUUCCUGAAGUGUCAGUUGUAAUGGAUAUUAUUCUUUUGGUACUGGACCUAAAAUGGAGUGGUGGUCUUUUAUCUUUCAUAGAAUAUUAUUCACUAUGAGGUGAAUUUGUUCAAAAGGUUGCAUGUAGUGAGUUGCCAAUGUGGGCCAUCUGUUAAUGUCAUUUAGUUUCUUUGGAUUAC